This 497-nucleotide ribosomal RNA is filed under the name uncultured bacterium. RNAcentral's name for it is "partial 16S ribosomal RNA". It matches the Rfam family "Bacterial small subunit ribosomal RNA", at positions 28 to 507 of the family's 1533-position model. The record is from RNAcentral.
GAUGAACGCUGGCGGCGUGCCUAAUACAUGCAAGUCGAGCGAACAGACGAGGAGCUUGCUCCUUUGACGUUAGCGGCGGACGGGUGAGUAACACGUGGGUAACCUACCUAUAAGACUGGGAUAACUUCGGGAAACCGGAGCUAAUACCGGAUAAUAUUUCGAACCGCAUGGUUCGAUAGUGAAAGAUGGCUUUGCUAUCACUUAUAGAUGGACCUGCGCCGUAUUAGCUAGUUGGUAAGGUAACGGCUUACCAAGGCAACGAUAUGUAGCCGACCUGAGAGGGUGAUCGGCCACACUGGAACUGAGACACGGUCCAGACUCCUACGGGAGGCAGCAGUAGGGAAUCUUCCGCAAUGGGCGAAAGCCUGACGGAGCAACGCCGCGUGAGUGAUGAAGGUCUUCGGAUCGUAAAACUCUGUUAUUAGGGAAGAACAAACGUGUAAGUAACUGUGCACGUCUUGACGGUACCUAAUCAGAAAGCCACGGCUAACUACGUG